RNAcentral lists this unclassified non-coding RNA (323 nucleotides) under uncultured fungus. RNAcentral's name for it is "partial contains 5.8S ribosomal RNA and internal transcribed spacer 2". The stretch from base 1 to 133 matches the Rfam family "5.8S ribosomal RNA", at positions 22 to 154 of the family's 154-position model. The record is from RNAcentral. Lineage: Eukaryota; Fungi.
UGGUUCUGGCAUCGAUGAAGAACGCAGCGAAAUGCGAUAAGUAGUGUGAAUUGCAGAAUUCAGUGAAUCAUCGAAUCUUUGAACGCACAUUGCGCCCCUUGGCAUUCCAUGGGGCAUGCCUGUUCGAGCGUCAUUUGAACCCUCAAGCUUUGCUUGGUGUUGGGUGUUUGUCCCGCCAUUGCGCGUGGACUCGCCUUAAAGCAAUUGGCAGCCCGUGUUAUCCGGCUUUGAGCGCAGCACAGUGCGUAUUCGAGGUGGAUACACGGGCAUCCAGAAGCCCUUUUUUUACUCUUGACCUCGGAUCAGGUAGGGAUACCCGCUGA